AGCAGGAUCAUUCUUGGAAGGAAUACAUCAACCUAUUUCUUUCGAAUUAACUAUGAUGUCUGAAUGCCUACGGGCUUCGGGAAUCCUCCUAAGACAGCGGCAGUGUGUAUACUGUUAGCUUGGUCUCCUUCUCACCGGUUCUGUGUCUCAGCCUCGGCUUUGAGUAUCAGGCUGGUGGGCGGUUGGGUAACAUAGAGUGUGGAGGAUGUUGCUCUCCAACCGUUCGAAACAACGCUCAACGAUGGAUAUCUCGGCUUGGUGAUCGAUGAAGGACGCAGCAAAGUGCGACAAGUGUCAUGACUUGCAGAUACCCGAGAGCUGACAAAUUUCUGAAUGCAAAUUGCAGCCAAGUUAAUCUGGCUAUGUAUUGCAGAGAGUACUUCGCGUAUGCGCUCCAUCCAGAGAUGCUUGCUCAUCCUGGGACGUGCACCGUCUAUCUUGGUUCGCCGAGAGACCACGGACUGUCAAAGAUAGAAAACUUCGUGUUUUCCCGGAUUUAUAUUGAGAAAAGACUUAAUCUUCUCUUCUCAACAUUUACCUCUGCAAUGCAGGAGAACCCGCUGAACUUAAGCAUAUCAUUGAGCGGAGGACAAGAAAACAACUGUGAUUCCCUGAGUAACUGCGAGUGAAUAGGGAAAAGCCUAUGCUUGAAUCCGGUGUGGAUGGAAUCGGAAACACUGGAAUUGUAGUGCAAGGGUUUUGAGCGAGGCGAACCAGUCGGAAGAAUCGCUCAGGAAUGAGCAACCAAUGAGGGCUAUCGUCCCGUAUCCUCCGACGCGGUCGUCUCACAUGCUCUUCUCCCCAAGAGUCGGGCAGUUUGAGAAUGCUGUCCAAAACCGCAGGUGUACUCCUGCGAAGGCUAAAUAUUUCACCAAGACCGAUAGUGAACAAGUAGUGUGAACGAAAGAUGAAAAGUACUUUGAAAAGAGAGUGAAAAGUCCUUGACAUUGUUGGGCGCAAAGGGUAUGAGACCCAUUGUAUGCUUCUGCUUUUUAGCGAGAGCUGUCAAUGCGAGUUUCUGGCUUCUGCAGGUUGCGCUCUGCUUCCCCGCUUCGGCGUGUGAGAGACGCAGCUGUUGCAGAAAGUCGGCGACUUGGCAGAGUCUUUGAGCAGACAGCAUCUGAUUUUGGCUGUGUUUGCGGUGUCGAAGCAUCUUCUUUCGUGGAGGGUCUUCACAUUGCACCCAUUGUCACCAGGUGUUGUCGAGCUUAAGAGCCGUUGACCUUUAAUGGUCUCUUACCACCCGUCUUGAAACACGGACCAAGGAGUCUACCGAAUGUGCGAGUGUUAUGGUGAUUGAAACCAAACGACGCACAAUGAAAGUGAUGCCUGUGAACCGCAACGGAGAUCGUUGUUGGUGCAACAGGGCUCGGUCCUUAUCAGAAGAAAGGGAUCUGAAGUUGAGCACAUUCGCUGGGACCCGAAAGAUAGCGAGCUUUUCCUGGGCCGAAGGAAGCCAGGGGAAACCUUGGUGGACGUUCGAAUGCAGUGCUGACGUGCAAAUCGCUUGUCAGAUCUGGGUAAAGGGGCGAAAGACUCAUCGAGCUAUCUAGUAGCUGGUUCCCUC
This 1567-nucleotide unclassified non-coding RNA is filed under the name uncultured fungus. RNAcentral describes it as "sequence contains 18S rRNA gene, ITS1, 5.8S rRNA gene, ITS2, 28S rRNA gene". The stretch from base 534 to 1567 matches the Rfam family "Eukaryotic large subunit ribosomal RNA", at positions 1 to 961 of the family's 3401-position model. The record is from RNAcentral. Lineage: Eukaryota; Fungi.